This 432-nucleotide ribosomal RNA is filed under the name Kwoniella mangrovensis. RNAcentral describes it as "partial large subunit ribosomal RNA". It matches the Rfam family "Eukaryotic large subunit ribosomal RNA", at positions 145 to 585 of the family's 3401-position model. The record is from RNAcentral. Lineage: Eukaryota; Fungi; Basidiomycota; Tremellomycetes; Tremellales; Cryptococcaceae.
AAUCUAUACGGAAGCGUUUUCCGCGCCGGACCGUGUAUAAGUCUCCUGGAACGGAGUAUCAAAGAGGGUGACAAUCCCGUGCUUUACACGACGACCGGUGCUAUGUGAUACGUUCUCUACGAGUCGAGUUGUUUGGGAAUGCAGCUCAAAACGGGUGGUAAACUCCAUCUAAAGCUAAAUAUUGGUGGGAGACCGAUAGCGAACAAGUACCGUGAGGGAAAGAUGAAAAGCACUUUGGAAAGAGAGUUAAACAGUAUGUGAAAUUGUUGAAAGGGAAACGAUUGAAGUCAGUCGUGUCCAUUGGGUUCAGCCGGUCCUGCCGGUCUACUCCCUUUGGACGGGUCAACAUCAGUUCUGACCGGCGGAUAAUGGCACGAGGAACGUGGCACCCUCCGGGGUGUGUUAUAGCCUCGCGUCGCAUACGCUGGUCGG